UACGGGGGGGGCAAGCGUUGUUCGGAAUUACUGGGAGUAAAGGGCGCGUAGGCGGGUGGACAAGUCUCUCGUGAAAGCCCACGGCUCAACCGUGGAAUUGCGGGAGAUACUGUCUGUCUUGAGUCCGGGAGAGGAGGGUGGAAUUCCCAGUGUAGCGGUGAAAGGCGUAGACAUUGGGAGGAACACCGGUGGCGAAGGCGGCCCUCUGGACCGGUACUGACGCUGAGGCGCGAAAGCUAGGGGAGCAAACGGG
This 253-nucleotide ribosomal RNA is filed under the name uncultured bacterium. RNAcentral's name for it is "partial 16S ribosomal RNA". It matches the Rfam family "Bacterial small subunit ribosomal RNA", at positions 524 to 776 of the family's 1533-position model. The record is from RNAcentral.